Molecule: long non-coding RNA, 3543 nt
Organism: Triticum aestivum (bread wheat)
Lineage: Eukaryota; Viridiplantae; Streptophyta; Magnoliopsida; Poales; Poaceae
Exons: 4
Source: RefSeq, a predicted model, not a curated record
UUGUUAUUUGAUGAGUUGUGGACCUGCAAAUAAAUUGUUGAAUAUACUUGAUUCUUCACAGAUGGCCUUGUAGGAUUGUUCUGGAAACAGAUACAAAUGCGAUAUCUGAGAAGGUGCCAGGCGAUUGGAAGGAGCUGGAUCCUUCACUGAGCAGAUGAUAAGCCAAGCCGUAGCGACUGUGGAAGUGCACUUCACAAGCAUAGUGCACCAAGUUUGCAAGAAAGAAAAUGAGUUGAAUCCUCCUGUAUGAGUGAGCAUAGUUUAUCAUCUAUGGUUGUGGUUGUUGGCAUUUUGUUCGCGGAGAUGUGUGUCCAGCCCAAGUGCCUAACUGGUCACCAGAUUCCUAGGUCAUUGGUCCUGUUGUUUGACCUCCCUUUGGUGAAAUAGCACAUGAAUGCUACUGACCUCUUGUGCUUUUUAUGAGCAAGCAUGUUGAUGGUCAAAAUGUUUUUUUGUUAAGGGCAAGCAUGUCUGUUCUGCAAACAAGGAGACAGCAAAACACUUGAAAAUCUUGGGUCGGCGUAUCGUGACAAAACAUGAUAGGAAGAGAGUUACCAACUAACAAGGCAGUGGCAUUAUGAGCUGAGCUGCAGCAAGUUCUGAAGAGGCACCCAGAAAUUCAGGUCCUGACAGGUUGUGAGUGGAGGAGAUCAGAAGUAAACUCCUGUUGAGGCUGUGGCACUGUUUGGAGGAAUGGUGUUAUUGUUCACAACAAAGUUGAUGGUACACCAUUGGUGCCUCGGUUGCCUUCCUCCCGAAUUAUUUUUUCCUGUGCCCAACCUGAAUACCAUGUGUGUGGCGGUAAGAAGCUGACCAUUUUAAGGAACAAAUGCUUCAUCUGAUGUUCGAUCUUAACAUAUGCUCGAGAAAUAAAACUUGUACUGAUCUGCAGAGCCAUGAUCUUUUAUUCUCUGUAACCGGUGCAAUGCAGGUGAAUUGGGUCCACUAUUCUGUGCAGAGCCAUGAUCUUAGCAAGUUGAAACUGAUUUUCUUACAAGAGCUAGGAGAAUUAGUUUAAUUGAAAGAUUGCAUUAUGAGCAACUUCUCGAUGAAAUGCUCUGCUUGCGGUUCAUGAUUCCAUUGCAUUUGAUUUGGUAUUGAAACACAAACAUACUGUUAUAAUUCUGCCUUUGGGUUGCAUCUUGCAUGGUUUGGAAUAAUAUUAAUCAUUUCAGUUUAGUGGCUAAGUAUUUUAAGGAAUCAAUGCUUCAUGUGAUGUUUGAUGUUAAGAUAAGCUGGAGAAAUGAAACUUGUAUACGCCCAGAUUGUCUUCCCUUUAGAUUCUGUAAGAGGCAGCCACGUAUUCUUUUUUUAUUUGACUGUUGCAGUGUGUAUGAAUUAGGUCCACUAUGAGCCGGCUAGACAAGUUAUAAUCAAGAAGGUCUGACUGUUUAUUGGUAGUGUUCUUCUCAGUACUCAAACGUCAGCAACCUAGCUGUCUCUUGUCUCUGUUUAUUGAACUGAAGAAUUGACUUGUCCUUUUAUUGAUGUCUUCCUUUGUAGAGUUUAUUUGGUGCUCUUCUUAAUAUUAAGACUUACUAGCAAAUAUACAUGGGUGUCUUGUUUCUAUUUUUUGGCUGUAGCCGAUUAUCCAAUUGUCGACUAGCAGGUUGCACCUGAUUUUCAGAAGAGCUUGGAGCACUACUCUUGUUAUAUUAUUAAGUGCUUAAAUUAUAGUCAGCUUUUCAGAAAUGCUCUGCUGCAAUUCAUUCUUUCUUCAUUAAUGAAUUGCAUCAUUUGGAAUGUUGUACUGCAAUUCAUUCUUCAUGAAUCCAUUGCAUAACGAGCGAGGGCGGUGCAAGUGAAUUCAUUCUUCACGAACGAGGGCAGUGCAAGUGUACAAGAGAGCUGAAGCAUUCAGAGUGAUGAUUUUGGAACCUGCCAAUGGUGUCUCUGCACCGUAGUUGCUGUAUGAACCUAGGCAGAGAAGAGAGAUUUUGCCAUUUUGGAAACAUUUUAUUCAGAGUGAGAUAAACCAACCGAACCGAGUUCCAAGUGAAAGAGUGAUGAUUGAGAUUACUUACUCGCCAACAGUUUAGCUAAUGUGACUGUAAUCUAUGCCGGAGGGAGGAGGACUGCCUUUCCAAGUGGAGCAUGCAGGACAACUCUAUCUUUUUAGUAUAUCUGGCUGAUGAACUUCCCUAGUACAUCAGACUGGAUUGGGAAAAAACACUUAAAUAUUUAAAUUCGUAAUGUCUGACAUGUAAUACCUCAAAUAUUCAAAUUCGUAAUGUAUGGCUAAUGAACUUUCCUGGUAUCUCAAACGGUUUGUGUGCCUCAAAUUCACUCUGACCAUUUGUUACUGGGUAUGUUUUGUGCUGCUGCAGGAUCACUUGAAGUGCGCCCACAUCAGUUUUAUGUAGCAUGCUGGUGACAAAUUUCUGGUUACAGUUUACCAAGUCGAUGCAAUAUACAAGCCGAACACCCAGAUUAAUAUAUUUCAGUGUGUUUGAUCAAUCUGAGACCAAGGAGAAGUAUCUUGAUCUUAAACGGUUGCACAGGAACCUCGAAGUUUUGCUCUUUAUCCCUAUUUUGUUGAUGGCACCUAGAACUAGAAGGUCCUUUGUUCUGGGCACAGUCCAGCGGCUCCAGCACAAACCAGUUCUGCCCGAAUUGGAGACCGUCCAAAAUAUUUAGUGAAGAAUCAACUUGCCUCUUUAUCAAGGUCUUCUUUCUUAUAGAUUACCUGGUUGUCUUCUUAUAGUACUAGAAUUUAGCAAAUCCAUAUGUUACCUGUUUCUGUAUUUGUUAUAGCUGACGAUGAAAUGAGGCAGAUAUCCUCUUUGUUGACUAUGAUAUUCUCUGUUUAUUGAUCUUUUUAUAAUUAAAAAAACAGCUGGGAGUACUAGUUUAAUUGAAAGAGUGCAUCAUAGUCGAUGAGAAAUGUUCAGUUUUGCGUUCAUUCUUUUUCGCGAUUUAUUUCAUCUUGUUAGGUAUUGAAACACACUAAAAUUCUCUCUUUGCGUUGCUCUGUUUGCAAAUAUCUUUUUAUGAUUUAAGUUUAGCUGCUAGCCAUUUCAAGGAAUCAAUGCUACAUGUGAUGUUUGAUUAGGUUGUGUAACUGCAAUUAUAGUUCAGAUUGUGCAGUCAGCAGUGAAAACAGAUUUCUUGCAGCUAUGAGUAUUUGCUAAUGAUUCAUUUCCCCUCUUCUCAGUUUCUAGCUUGCACUCAACUCAAUGAAAACAUGGCACCAUGAUUUAUCCCUUAGUAGAGAUCGAUGGAGCCGGCGGACCCAACACAACCGAUGGAGAAGCGCUUGAUCACAUGGCCUUGUCUUGAGGUUCUUGCUACUACCAUCCGCACGAGCUAUUAACUUCGGGCUUCUUUUAACACAGACAGAUAAUUUAAUUAACUGUUAGUAGUGACUGGUACUAGGUAGCCAAAGGGAUGUCUUCUUGUGCUUAGAAGAUACUGAAUUCUUUAAGAUUGAGUCUCUCUUGUACUAGGUAGCCAGAGGUAGCCGAUGCUCUCUCAUGCUAGUGUGUACUCAUUCCUGGUACCUCGCAAUCCUAAGUACACAUACAGACAACCUUUUCUUUUUGA